CUCAACUGUUGUAUUUGAUUUUAUCUGAUUUUAAUACAUGCUAGCUUAUAUGACUUUUAUUUAUAUAUCGCUUUGCCAUUAUCUAUUUUAAAAGACUUGCGACAUCGUGAAAACACGUCUAUUACCACGUCGCCAUCAAGGAACCCGUGGUCAUCAACACAUUUCGACUUCAGUCGAGAUUUUGAUUUGGGUCGAAUCAAUGUGCGCCCGAGUUUAGCAAGGUAAAUUAUUAAAAACGUGCCUAAAGAUUCUAGCGUAUUAUUACUUUAGGGAAGACCGUAAAAUUCACUAAACGGUCCUCCCAUAUUCUAAAUUAUUUCGAUAACCAUUUACUGAGGGCCCCGCGAUUUGUUUUGUUGGGCGAGGAUCAUCUCAUUAUUCAUUAAAAGGUCAAACCUAAAGGGAAUUACGUUUUCUAGUUAUUUGUUGUGUCUCUAAAAAUAAGAGAAUACUGCUUGACUAAUGUAAUAAAUUUGGGCUUUGGGGAAUUAGUGAACAAUUUAAAAAGAAACAAUGUCUAAGUAAUUUUGGGCCUGAAACUUGCCCAAUGCAAGCACACUACACGGACAGGCCUUGGGGAGGUUAAGGGGUCGAUUCUCUAAAGCUACCAAACACAAGAUUGGCUCCAAUUGCAUCCAAACUAACGCCUCAAUUAAUCAGCACGUUAUUAUACCAUAAUGAAUUAAAUACAAAUAAUCAUUUUAGUUGUCUAUCUACUGAAAUAACUCAAAUACCAUUACAGGUGACAAGUCAAGCCUGGUAUUAUAACCUUCAUUCAAAGUGUUUCAUAAUGCACUAACACUAAGAAGCUGGUCAUCAAAUACCUGUUGAGAUUACCAUUUGCAACAAAAUACAUGUUUAAAAGUAAACUACCAUUCCAAGAUUCAGUCUGAUUUGUAGUCCAUACUAUAUUAUACUAAUAACACAAAAGAUAAGCCAUCAUGAUGAAUUAAUUCAACAUACAAAGGGUUUAUCCAGUUUAAGACAAAUCUCAAAAAUCCAACACCAUUCUAUACCCUAAUCAUCAACUAUACAGUUAUAUAGCCCGGAUGGAUGUCUAAUGUAUGCAAUUUGAUUAAUACAACUAUGAGUAUUCAAAUAAGUAGAGGUGAAGAUGUCUAAGCUUGGUCUGAUUUUGAAUUACAAUUUCAGAACAACACACAAAACUUCAAUUGUAUUUCAUGUUCAAUAGGUGAAGUUACAUCAACCCAAGCUGAGAAUGUGUACCUGGAAAUCGCAAUACAGCGAAAUUGAGAAGCUAUCAGCAUAAUAUGUGUAGCAACAACAGUCAACGAGAACCAAAUCAACAGCAAACUCGAAUUUAACCCAGAAAAUAUACUCAAACCAAGACCCAAAUAGAUUUGAAAACCUAGCAGCAACAACAGACAACCAAAACAGACUGAAUGAACCCAAAAAUUGCUUGAAAUCAACAAUGAAUGACUCAGAAAUUUCAGUAACUAAUGAGAGAACCAAAAAAAUGAGAAUUGAUAACUAGAACGUCAAAAUUAGACUACAAUUUCUAACGAAAAAGUGAUUUUUUUUUUUGGAUUUUCUAUAGCUUUGUAUUUUUUUGGUUUUUUAAGAAGAAAAAUAGAUUUCAGAUCUAAUGUUCAAUCUAAAAUAUGGAAUUUAGUAUUUCUGGAAAGAUAAC
Molecule: long non-coding RNA, 1651 nt
Filed under: Nicotiana benthamiana
Lineage: Eukaryota; Viridiplantae; Streptophyta; Magnoliopsida; Solanales; Solanaceae
Description: long non-coding RNA (NBEN_LNC011829)
Source: RNAcentral